RNAcentral lists this transfer RNA (84 nucleotides) under Candidatus Caccousia avistercoris. RNAcentral describes it as "tRNA-Tyr". It matches the Rfam family "tRNA". From Rfam's summary of the family: Transfer RNA (tRNA) molecules are approximately 80 nucleotides in length. The record is from RNAcentral. Lineage: Bacteria; Bacillati; Bacillota; Clostridia; Eubacteriales; Oscillospiraceae.
GGAGGAGUUCCCGAGUGGUCAAAGGGGACAGACUGUAAAUCUGCUGCUUCGGCUUCGGUGGUUCGAAUCCACCCUCCUCCACCA